This 1457-nucleotide long non-coding RNA is filed under the name Olea europaea (common olive). RNAcentral describes it as "long non-coding RNA (OEUR_LNC000619)". Lineage: Eukaryota; Viridiplantae; Streptophyta; Magnoliopsida; Lamiales; Oleaceae. The record is from RNAcentral.
AAAAAAAAAAAAAAAAAAAAAAAAAAAAAGAUUUCAUGAAAUUUAGAAAAUCGUGUCUUGGGAAUGAAACAGUCGCAUAGAACAUUUGAAAACUCUCAAUUUGGCAUCGUUAUGAAGCUAUGUGGUCGCAUGCAUUUUAAGCUAAACAGUCGCAUAGCUUUAGACUUGACACCUCUUUUUCCUUGUGCAAAAUUUCACGAUAAUUUUGAAUUGCACUCAUGGAUGAAAAUUCGACACCCAGGCUGAAAGGUAUGCCCGUAUUUAUUUACGCUACUCGUUUUUCUCAUAUAUCAUCCAAAACCUAAAUCCAAUGCACCAAAACUUGCCCCCGUCUUCAUGUCCAACAUGUAAGUUGUUAUUUGGCUUGUUGCACUCAAUCUCUUGGCCUCUACAUCUUAGACAACUCAUCCGGCAGCCAACUUGAUCCUCCGUAGCUCUUGAUCUUGUCUUUGGUUUCUCUUCAAGUUGAGCUGGAUCUUUGUAAUUUGUUGUCUUCCUUGGAUCACAUCAUCUAGCAAGACCUAAACCCCAUAAUUCAAAAAAGGGAAAAAUUCAACAAACCCAUCCAAAUAUAAGCAUUUCUAUAAUAUAAUCAUUAGUCGAAACAUGGUUAUAACUUGUGCAAAUUAUUAUGCCGGAACUAAAAAGACAUCAUAUAUAUUUUUCUCUUUCUUGUUUGUUUUAUUCUUAAAAAAUUAACAAAAUAAGAAAAUCGGACCUGAUUGAUGCGGCACAAACCACCUCUCGUCAAGACAAAUUUAUUUAUUUAUUAUUAUUUUUUUUUUUAUAGAUGGGGAAUCUAAAAAUAAACCAUUAGUAAUAAAUAAUCUCAAAAGUGCUGGCCUCUAUUUCUUAAAAUUAAUUCUUCUCAAAAUCAUUUUCGAUCACACAUUUCUUUCAAUUCUCAAAUUUUCAAUCUCACAUUUCAUCAACUUUUAUUAAAAUCUAUUAAAAAUCUAUAUUUUAUAAAAAAUCAAACUGGGACUUAGUUUGAAAUCCAUUUCUUUGCUCUCUUUCCAUAGCUAAAUGGGCAAUGGUGAGGAUAAAUAUAAGGAAAAAAAAUUCAUAUAUAUGCUUUAAAUUAAAAAUAUUUCUUAAUAUACUAAAAAGGUAAUUAUUAUGCCUCCACUUUAAAGAGGGGAUCAGGACUCCAUUAUUCAUUCAUGAGUCCCUCGUGUUCCCACCGCGCUUUUCUUUCUUUCUUUCUUUUCCUUUUCCAUACUUUUUUAUCCCUAAAUUUUUGCCUUCCCUUUCUUUCUUUCUUUUCUCCUUCACACACUGUUCUUUCUUUCUUUUACUUUUCAGCAUGCUUAUAAUCCUACCUUUUUCCCUUUCCUUUCUUUCUAUCUUUUCCCCUUCCUAUACUGUUCUCGCACUUUUCUUUCUCUCUCUUUUCCACAUAGUUUUAGCUGUACCUUUUCCCUUCCUCAUUUUCAUACUCUAUUCAUGCACUUUUU